Sorex fumeus (smoky shrew) is the source of this 502-nucleotide long non-coding RNA. RefSeq lists it as uncharacterized. Lineage: Eukaryota; Metazoa; Chordata; Mammalia; Eulipotyphla; Soricidae. The transcript has 6 exons. The record is from RefSeq and is a predicted model, not a curated record.
GAAAGAAAAGGAAAGAAAGGAAAGAGAGAAAAGGAAAGGAAAGAAAAGGAAAGAAAGGAAAGAAAAGGAAAGAAAGGAAAGAAAGGAAAGGAAAGAAAAGGAAAGAAAGGAAAGAGAGAAAAGGAAAGAAAGAAAAGUGCCAGUCCUCCAUCUGGAAUUGAAGAGGAAGCUGCUGAAAAUGGUGUUCCUAAACCGAAAGUGACUGAAACUGAAUAUGAUAGUGACAGUGAUGAUGAUGAGGAUGAUGUUCAUGUCACUAUCGGAGACAUUAUAACGGGAGCACCACAAUAUGGCCCCGGUAGUGAAGAUUCUUCUAUCUCACCAUGGAGCCCUUAAACCUUGUGUAAGAGAUUACUAAGACGUUACAGGAGUUACGGAAAAGCACCAGUGAAUCUUAAUAUCAAGACAGGAGGAAGAGUUUAUGGAACUACAGGAACAAAAGUCAAAGGGGUAGAGCUCGAUGCACCUAGAAGUAUUAAUGGAGUUCCACUCUUGGAGGUAG